GGGGGCGUCAGGGUUCGACAGAGACGCUUCAGGCGCAGGUUGCGAGCCGAGGCGCCGCUGGCCUCGUAAAAAAGCGGCAAACAAGAAGUGCGAAUAACUAUGCACUCGCUGCCUAAUUAAGGCAGCCGUCUCGCUGUGCCCCGGUCGGCCGGGUACGGCUCAGGCGUGAAAAAGGUCGACUUGCUUCCAAAGGCUCGGCUCUUGGCCCAGGAAGGAGAUCAAGAGGGCUGGCGACGCAAAGCCCCGUUCGUCGGGACAGCGGCGCGAGACAAUAAAGGCGAUCUACGCUCGUAGAGGCUUGCGAAUCUGACGGCUUUGGAAGGGGGUUCAAUUCCCCCCGCCUCCACCA
RNAcentral lists this transfer-messenger RNA (349 nucleotides) under Fimbriimonadales. RNAcentral's name for it is "JABWCR01 sp013359125 Standard tmRNA". It matches the Rfam family "transfer-messenger RNA". From Rfam's summary of the family: Bacterial tmRNA, also known as 10Sa RNA or SsrA, is named for its dual tRNA and mRNA-like properties. The record is from RNAcentral. RNAcentral also lists the same sequence under 1 other name. Lineage: Bacteria; Bacillati; Armatimonadota; Fimbriimonadia.